UGUAAACCUGACCCUCUUCAAACUUGGUAACUCGCUCUUAUGAUUCCACUGCACAUUUUGUAAAAUUAAUUGUUAAAAAAAAAGCAAAAAAAAACAACCCAGUUUUUAUCCAAAACAUCUCACAGCAGUCAGACGGUCAGAGAUGCCCCAAAGCUCGAAUUCCAAAGCCUUCCCAAACCACCCCCUCUUAAAGCACAUUCACC
Molecule: non-coding RNA, 203 nt
Organism: Pelobates cultripes (western spadefoot toad)
Lineage: Eukaryota; Metazoa; Chordata; Amphibia; Anura; Pelobatidae
Source: the annotation of a GenBank genome assembly